AACGAACGCUGGCGGCAGGCUUAACACAUGCAAGUCGAGCGCCCCGCAAGGGGAGCGGCAGACGGGUGAGUAACGCGUGGGAAUCUACCCAUCCCUACGGAAUAGCUCCGGGAAACUGGAAUUAAUACCGUAUACGCCCUACGGGGAAAGAUUUACCGGGGAUGGAUGAGCCCGCGUUGGAUUAGCUAGUUGGUGGGGUAAAGGCCUACCAAGGCGACGAUCCAUAGCUGGUCUGAGAGGAUGAUCAGCCACAUUGGGACUGAGACACGGCCCAAACUCCUACGGGAGGCAGCAGUGGGGAAUAUUGGACAAUGGGGGCAACCCUGAUCCAGCCAUGCCGCGUGAGUGAUGAAGGCCUUAGGGUUGUAAAGCUCUUUCACCGGGGAAGAUAAUGACGGUACCCGGAGAAGAAGCCCCGGCUAACUUCGUGCCAGCCGCCGCAGUAA
Molecule: ribosomal RNA, 446 nt
Filed under: uncultured bacterium
Lineage: Bacteria
Description: partial 16S ribosomal RNA
Rfam family: Bacterial small subunit ribosomal RNA
Source: RNAcentral